Molecule: long non-coding RNA, 491 nt
Organism: Anguilla anguilla (European eel)
Lineage: Eukaryota; Metazoa; Chordata; Actinopteri; Anguilliformes; Anguillidae
Exons: 3
Source: RefSeq, a predicted model, not a curated record
AUCGGCAUAUCACCCCCAGACAAACGGGCUUGAUGAAAGGACGAACCAAACAUUAAAGGCAUCCAUUGGGAAUACCAUCCAGGGCCAACAGGAGAGAUGGGAGGACAGCCUCAGAGAGUUGUGUACGCACAUAAUACCUGUGUACAGGCCUCAACCAGGUACUCCCCCUUCCGCCUAAUGUUUGGGCGAGAGGCACAUCUGUUUACUGAGUUUCAGCUAAUAUCUGACUGUCCAGAGGUGACAGCUUCUGUUGAGCAAGACAAAGAUUCGGUGGAGGCCUUUGUGCAGCUCAGGGGUGGCCUAGAUGAGGAGGUUUUUGGAAAGUCAGGUGAUCUGCAAUGUGGAGAGGGCCCAGAAAAGACAGAAGCUGGCCUACCGGCAGAGGAUGAAGAGAGAAAUGAAGCGUUUCAUCAUCUCCCCUGGUAUGGAGGUCCUCAAGAAAAAUAAGAGGAAGAAGGGGAGGCCUGGGGGUACCAUGGACCCAAAUUGGA